This 253-nucleotide ribosomal RNA is filed under the name uncultured bacterium. RNAcentral describes it as "partial 16S ribosomal RNA". It matches the Rfam family "Bacterial small subunit ribosomal RNA", at positions 524 to 776 of the family's 1533-position model. The record is from RNAcentral.
GACAGAGGGUGCAAACGUUGCUCGGAUUUACUGGGCGUAAAGCGCGUGUAGGCGGGUGGAUAAGUCGGGUGUGAAAUCCCUGGGCUCAACCCAGGAACUGCAUCCGAAACUGUCCAUCUAGAGUGAUGGAGAGGAAAGCGGAAUUCCCGGUGUAGAGGUGAAAUUCGUAGAUAUCGGGAGGAACACCAGUGGCGAAGGCGGCUUUCUGGACAUCAACUGACGCUGAGACGCGAAAGCGUGGGGAGCAAACAGG